UCUCAAAAAAAAAAAAAAAAAUCCUGUAAUAGCUCAUCAAGUGGUCAUUAGCCUCAAUUUGAAACAUGUCCAAUGACAGGGAUCUCAACUGAGGGCAUUUCAUGUCUUCUUACAGGAGGCUGGUUUGGCUCACGCACUCUGCCCUAGAAGCCAGCUGUUUCCCCACUGUUUCCCAGUGCAGAGACAGCAUCACUUCCUGUGAGAAUGCUUUGGUGUCAGUGUGGAGCUGCUGCUUUGUUUGGCCCCCUGGGUAUGCUAGAACCUGGGAAUGGGCCUCUGCAGCUAACCCAGGGUUGGUCAGUUGGUUACUGAAAGGAAAGGGAAUUUAUUUUUAAUUUCCUGGGUUUUCUUGGCUGUUGCUUUGGAGUGGAGAUCAUUUAGCAUCUGGUACGCUGAUGGUCUGAGAAGAAAAGGAAAAGUCUCUGGAAAGGAGUUAGGUGACUACUGGGUAAGAUUGAGCUGACACGAGGGUGGAGAAUAGGGAGAGGUGCCGAGCAGCUAACCUGGUCAUUGUCACUGUCUUCAUUAGGGAGCUUUAUUCCCUUAUGUGCAUCCCUCUCCCAGGUUUAACAGAACACCCAGUAGUGGCAGGGAAUUGUAGCACGAAAGAGCCAAUUGUAGCCCAUCCCACUCACAUUAUAGGCGAGGAAGCUGAGGCCUAGAAAAGGAAAAAGGCUAGCCCAGGGUUGCUAGUGGCAAAGAUGAGACUUGAAUUCAGGUUUCCUGAUUACCAGGCCUGCUCUCGUUCUCCUGCAACAUGUAUAUUAGUCAGGGUCAGCAGAAAACAGACAGCACGUUUAAAUUGGGCAAUUGAGUCAGGGUAUAGGGAAACAACUAUGGAUGGUGGAACAUCCUGGGGCUAGUAACAGUGGGAUCUUACCACCUCUACACCUAGAGACAGAGAGGCUGUGUGGGGGGUCAUCUUACUAGAGCUGAGACUUUGAGUUAAGGGAUUUACCAAGGGAUCUGGGGGAAUAAAAACCCUGUCCUCCCUUUCUUCCUCCCUCUGGUCUCCUGUCAAGGCUUUCCAUGGACCAAACCCAACUGGCAGUCAGGACAAGAGAAUCUUGAUGUACUUCAUACAGGUCAAUUCUAAGGCAUAAUGCAGGGUGGAAUAGGAGGAAUGUACUUAGAGGACAAAUGAAAGAUACCAGCAUAAUAAUAUUUAAUAGUUUACAUUUCUUGAGCUUAGUCUGUACUAAACAUGUCCAUUAUUUCAUUGCAUCUUCCCAUAAACGUGGUUUUCUCCAUUUGACAGAUAAAGAAACUGACUAGUGAAACAACUUGAGGAAUGGAGGUGAUUCUCCAUCUGGGAGGCCAUUUCUGAAUGACCAAGCCCAGCUCAGAUGUCACCUCCACCAUGAAGUCCAAACACCUUUGUGAGUCUUCUCUAAAGGAUUUAUUACGUUAUUCCCUGUGUUACAGUAAUUUGGCAGAAAAUCUACACUUGAGGAAAACUUGGCAUCACAAAGUUGCUUGCCAACACUCCUCGGCUGCCUGCUCCACCUGAGCCCCCGAGCCCAGCUCGUGGAUAUAAGGAGUCAAUCCCAUGGCUCCUCUUCCAGAGCUCCGUUCUGAGGGCAAGGAUGAAGACCCAGCCAUGAACUCCUGAUUCAGUGAGCGACGCUUGUACUCAGGCAGCUGAGAGGAAGAGACCAAGGAGGAACUGGUUCGUUCUGCUGGUGUUUGAGGCAGUGUUCUGCUGGUGUUUGAGGCAGCGUUCAGCUGGAGCCUGCUGUGUGAGGAGGCUCUUAGAGGAAAGAGGGAAAGGCUGCCAGGAGAGGAAAGUGGAGCCAGCCCAGGACACAGAUGAGGGUCAUGACGGUGUCCGGUCUGUCUGAGAAGCAGCAGGAAACCUCGCAGGGUCCAGAGUGGGGCUGCAGGUGCCUGAUGAAAUGAGCUGGGAGGAGUACACAGUGGUGACCUCAGAAUCCUCGAACCUGGCACCAGCCUCACCUCAGUCUCCUGCCAGCUGGCGGCCUUGGCUGUCAUAAAAAAAUCUCUGUAAAUCUCAGUUUGCUCAUCAAUAAAACAGAGAUAAUACUUCUCAGGUUGAUGGGAUUCAAUAAGAAAAUUUGU
This is a long non-coding RNA of Lemur catta (Ring-tailed lemur), 2079 nucleotides long. RefSeq lists it as uncharacterized. The transcript has 4 exons. Lineage: Eukaryota; Metazoa; Chordata; Mammalia; Primates; Lemuridae. The record is from RefSeq and is a predicted model, not a curated record.